This 361-nucleotide long non-coding RNA is filed under the name Cicer arietinum (chickpea). Its description in RNAcentral is "long non-coding RNA (CARI_LNC003501)". The record is from RNAcentral. Lineage: Eukaryota; Viridiplantae; Streptophyta; Magnoliopsida; Fabales; Fabaceae.
UCCAUUUUAAAACUCAAAAACACUAAACUUUGAAUAGAAAUGAUCAAAUCCUCCAAAACAAUUUAAAACCUACUACGGAUAUACGUUGUCCUCGCAGUUCUCUGUCUAUGUGAAUGGAUGAUCCUUCCUUGCGAGUUGCAUUAAUGGAGCUACGGUCUUAGCAAAGCCUUUGACAAAUCCCCUAAUUGAUACACAUUUCCCAACAAACACUAUCUCACUCUUAAUUGGAUCUACAACAAUUCUCUCACCUGAUAUUAUAAUUCCCAAAAAAAAAUUAUUUUUUUAACAAAAGAUUACACUUCAAUAGGUUAACAUACGACCGCUUUUCAUGCAAAACUUACAAAACUUAACACAAGUUCUU